CCGACCUUAGCUCAGUUGGUAGAGCGGAGGACUGUAGUGGGCAUAGCCUUGCAGUAAAAAUCCUUAGGUCGCUGGUUCGAAUCCGGCAGGUCGGA
Molecule: non-coding RNA, 95 nt
Organism: Gossypium raimondii (Peruvian cotton)
Lineage: Eukaryota; Viridiplantae; Streptophyta; Magnoliopsida; Malvales; Malvaceae
Source: Rfam